AGUGGCGGACGGGUGAGUAAUACAUAGAUAACCUGCCCUUAAGAUUGGGAUAACUAGCCGAAAGGUUAGCUAAUACCGAAUAAUGUUAUGUUCUUAGUUGAAUAUAAAGAAAGGGGCAACUCGUUUAAGGAAGGGUCUAUGGUCGAUUAGCUAGUUGGUGUGGUAACGGCAUACCAAGGCGACGAUCGAUAGCUGGUCUGAGAGGACGAUCAGCCACACUGGGACUGAGACACGGCCCAGACUUCUACGGAAGGCAGCAGUGGGGAAUUUUCCGCAAUGGGCGAAAGCCUGACGGAGCGACGCCGCGUGGGUGAAGAAGUCUUUCGGGAUGUAAAGCCCUGUCAGAGGGGAAGAAAAAAAUGACGGUACCCUCGGAGGAAGCAUCGGCUAACUACGUGCCAGCAGCCGCGGUAAUACGUAGAAUGCGAGCGUUGUUCGGAAUUACUGGGCGUAAAGAGUACGUAGGCGGUGAUGUAAGUCUGAUAUUAAAGACAGAAGCUCAACUUCUGGAAUGUAUCGGAGACUGCAUUGCUAGAGGGUAAUAGAGGAAGUUGGAAUUCUCAGUGUAGCGGUGAAAUGCGUAGAUAUUGGGAAGAACACCAGCGGCGAAAGCGGACUUCUGGGUUACUACUGACGCUGAGGUACGAAAGCGUGGGGAGCAAACGGGAUUAGAUACCCCGGUAGUCCACGCGGUAAACGAUGGAUACUAGG
RNAcentral lists this ribosomal RNA (711 nucleotides) under uncultured bacterium. RNAcentral describes it as "bacterial SSU rRNA". It matches the Rfam family "Bacterial small subunit ribosomal RNA", at positions 94 to 820 of the family's 1533-position model. The record is from RNAcentral.